AGAGGAGUAGAAGAAACCAGCCACAGGGGCUUCAGGCAGAGAGAAGAGCAGAGCAGGUCUGAGGCUCUGAGGUCACUUUGGCUACAAGGUGUGGAGAAAUAAGAAAGGAAAGAGAGAAAGCAGCAAGGAAGGAACCGUGCAGUACCAUGCUGGGGUGUGCUGAUGGAUCGGAUGUGGGGACGACAGAAACACAGGCACAUGAGGACGGACUCCCCAGUCCCAGCUGGAGGAACAGCCUUGCGCUGCGGUGAGGAGGGGUGGCUGAGAGAUCCGUGCCUGGGAGAGGCCUGCGAGGCAGCUGGCAGCAGGGUGCCUGCCACAUGGAGGGCAGCCAGGGAGGAAGGGAACGGAUUUGGUUUCCUACCACAUGGCCCAGCAAAGGCCCCCGCUCCUCCACAGCAACCUCGCCAACAAACCCCAGUUAUGAACCUCCUAGUUGCUGCAACAAUGGAGAACCGUAAAAGUGACAAGGGGCCUGC
Mustela lutreola (European mink) is the source of this 479-nucleotide long non-coding RNA. RefSeq lists it as uncharacterized. NCBI's taxonomy places the organism in Eukaryota, Metazoa, Chordata, Mammalia, Carnivora, Mustelidae. The record is from RefSeq and is a predicted model, not a curated record. The transcript has 3 exons.